AGCUUCGUGGAACAGCGGAAGUUCGUCGGGCUCAUAACCCGAAAGUCAAAGGAUCGAAACCUUUCGAAGCUA
Boothiomyces macroporosus is the source of this 72-nucleotide non-coding RNA. Lineage: Eukaryota; Fungi; Chytridiomycota; Chytridiomycetes; Rhizophydiales; Terramycetaceae. The record is from the annotation of a GenBank genome assembly.